UACAGAGGUCCCAAGCGUUGUUCGGAUUCACUGGGCGUAAAGGGUGCGUAGGCGGUCGGGUAAGUCUGAUGUGAAAUCUCACAGCUUAACUGUGAAACUGCAUUGGAUACUAUUCGGCUAGAGAGUUGGAGGGGGGACUGGAAUUCUUGGUGUAGCAGUGAAAAUGCGUAGAUAUCAAGAGGAACACCAGUGGCGAAGGCGGCUUUUUGGUCUGUAACUGACGCUGAGGCGCGAAAGCGUGGGGAGCAAACAGG
This 254-nucleotide ribosomal RNA is filed under the name uncultured bacterium. RNAcentral describes it as "partial 16S ribosomal RNA". It matches the Rfam family "Bacterial small subunit ribosomal RNA", at positions 524 to 776 of the family's 1533-position model. The record is from RNAcentral.